RNAcentral lists this unclassified non-coding RNA (184 nucleotides) under soil metagenome. RNAcentral describes it as "partial internal transcribed spacer 1". The record is from RNAcentral.
AAAGAUAUAGCAUAUUCUUCUGAAUAUACUUUAUUAACCCAUUCUGAGUACCUUACCCGUUGCUUCCGCGAGGCUGUCCUCACGGCCCUCUGAGGAUUUAUCUUUGGGGAGUCCUUGCGGAAGGUAUACAAUAAACUCUUGCAUUACUAUGUCAUCUGUCUGAAUCUGUUUAAAACAAAUAUUA